UCCUCCCAGUAAUAACAACAGCCGGUGACGUUGGGCUGGCCCUGUUUGGCGUGCAUAAUCAGAAUUGAUGAUCUCAGCCAAUCCAAUGCUUUCCAAUCAACAUCUGGCCACCAUCUGAGAAGUGGCCACUAUAGGUGUCCCAGUGCUGUAAAUGUAAACACUGCCUUUUCUCUGAAAAUCCUGCAAAGACAUACUAUACUCACCAGGACAACUACAAUAAGCUUUAGUUGUUCUGGUGACUAUAGUGUCCCAAUAGUAAAGAGGCUGUUAAAGCAUUUUAAAACCUAAUGAAUAAGUGAUUGAGGAUCCACUAGAACUCUCUAGCAAUAUACUUUGAGCAGAUUCCAGAACAGUUUAUAAAUCUGGAUGAGGGAAUGGACUACAAAACUUUAACCCUUUUGAUGGCACUGAGAAUAAGUCACAUUAUAAAAGGAAGUGCAUUAAUAUAAUUACCAAUAUGGAU
Molecule: non-coding RNA, 463 nt
Organism: Pelobates cultripes (western spadefoot toad)
Lineage: Eukaryota; Metazoa; Chordata; Amphibia; Anura; Pelobatidae
Source: the annotation of a GenBank genome assembly